ACGACCUUACUUGAACAGGAUCUGUUCUAUAGGCUCGUACCACUGUAACCUUGAAUUCUAAGGAGACAGAAAACCAAGUCUGGUGGAUGAAUAGUGGCUAUGAGACUAGAGCGUGAUUAACAGCCACCGUGGCCUUUGGGUCAUGGUGCCGUAGAUGAUCGUUCUCUGCCUGCUCCGCUGGGCUUGAGAUGGUCUCGUGGCUGUCUGACAGACU
Molecule: non-coding RNA, 214 nt
Organism: Capsicum annuum
Lineage: Eukaryota; Viridiplantae; Streptophyta; Magnoliopsida; Solanales; Solanaceae
Source: Rfam